UGGGGAAUAUUGGGCAAUGGGCGAAAGCCUUACCCAGCAACGCCGCGUGAGGGAAGAAGGUUUUCGGAUUGUAAACCUCUGUCCUGGGGGACGAAGGAAGUGACGGUACCCCGGGAGGAAGCCCCGGCUAACUACGUGCCAGCAGCCGCGGUAAUACGUAGGGGGCGAGCGUUGUCCGGAAUUAUUGGGCGUAAAGGGCGCGUAGACGGCCGAGUAAGUUAUAGGUGAAAGCCCAUCUUUCAAGGAUGGAAUUGCCUGUAAUACUGCCUGGCUUGAGUGCAGGAGAGGGAAGCGGAAUUCCUAGUGUAGCGGUGAAAUGCGUAGAUAUUAGGAGGAACACCAGUGGCGAAGGCGGCUUUCUGGACUGUAACUGACAUUGAGGCUCGAAAGUGUGGGUAUCAAACAGGAUUAGAUACCC
Molecule: ribosomal RNA, 418 nt
Filed under: uncultured bacterium
Lineage: Bacteria
Description: bacterial SSU rRNA
Rfam family: Bacterial small subunit ribosomal RNA
Source: RNAcentral